This 490-nucleotide ribosomal RNA is filed under the name uncultured bacterium. Its description in RNAcentral is "partial 16S ribosomal RNA". It matches the Rfam family "Bacterial small subunit ribosomal RNA", at positions 28 to 507 of the family's 1533-position model. The record is from RNAcentral.
GAUGAACGCUAGCUACAGGCUUAACACAUGCAAGUCGUGGGGCAGCAUGGGGGUUGCUUGCAACUCCCGAUGGCGACCGGCGCACGGGUGAGUAACGCGUAUCCAACCUGCCCUUCACCACGGGAUAACCCGGCGAAAGUCGGACUAAUACCGUAUGUUGUCCAUUGACGGCAUCCGAUUUGGACGAAAGGCUUUGCGGUGAAGGAUGGGGAUGCGUCCGAUUAGCCAGACGGCGGGGUAACGGCCCACCGUGGCUACGAUCGGUAGGGGUUCUGAGAGGAAGGUCCCCCACACUGGAACUGAGACACGGUCCAGACUCCUACGGGAGGCAGCAGUGAGGAAUAUUGGUCAAUGGGCGUAAGCCUGAACCAGCCAAGUAGCGUGCAGGAUGACGGCCCUAUGGGUUGUAAACUGCUUUUAUGCGGGGAUAAAGUGGCCCACGUGUGGGCUUUUGCAGGUACCGCAUGAAUAAGGACCGGCUAAUUCCGUG